RNAcentral lists this long non-coding RNA (1570 nucleotides) under Homo sapiens (human). RNAcentral's name for it is "non-protein coding lnc-NBPF6-8:1". The record is from RNAcentral. Lineage: Eukaryota; Metazoa; Chordata; Mammalia; Primates; Hominidae.
GGCGCCCAAGAGCCCGCAGGCGCGGGUGGCUUGGCCCGCGUGGGCUCCGAACUGCGGCGGCUCCGCUAGACAGUUGCAGAAGCUGGCGGACGGCCGGGACCCCCUGCCUUGCGCAGCCAGGCGUCGAGGAGGCGGCGGCGAGUGCUGCGGUGCUGGCUGGGUGGCCGAGUGGUCCCCGCAGCCUCUGGACCCAGCCAUGCUGCUCUGGAUGCAGGGCUUCGUGCUGGAGGCGGUGGCCUGCCAGGAUAACGAUGACUACUUACGCUACGGGAUCCUCUUCGAAGACCUGGAUUGCAAUGGGGACGGCGUGGUGGACAUCAUUGAGCUCCAGGAGGGGCUGAGAAACUGGAGCUCCGCGUUUGACCCCAACUCCGAGGAGCAUGGAUAGUGAUGGAUCAAUGACAGUAGACUGGGAUGAAUGGAAGUACUACUUUUUACUGCAUCCUGCAACAAAUAUCACUGAAAUGAUUCAUUUCUGGAAGCAUUCUACUUAUAAGAAAUUGCUUAGUUUUGAUGGUGUUCAUUUAGGAAUUCUUGAAAGAUUUAUAUUUGGCUCAUUGGCUGGUGUAACUGCCCAGACCUGUAUUUACCCCAUGGAGGUACUAAAGACCAGACUGGCUAUAGGUAAAACUGGAGAGUAUUCAGGGAUUAUUGAUUGUGGCAAGAAGCUUCUAAAACAAGAAGGUGUCAGAUCCUUUUUCAAAGGUUAUACUCCUAACUUGCUAGGCAUUGUACCUUAUGCCGGCAUAGAUCUUGCUGUUUAUGAGAUUUUGAAGAAUUUUUGGCUAGAAAAUUAUGCAGGAAACUCUGUGAAUCCUGGGAUAAUGAUUUUGGUGGGAUGUAGUACAUUGUCUAAUACUUGUGGUCAGUUAGCCAGUUUCUCUGUGAACCUUAUUAGAACUCGCAUGCAGGCUUCAGGCCCCAGUGGAAAAAGGAAAAACAACUUCUAUGAUUCAGCUCAUUCAAGAAAUAUAUACCAAAGAAGGAAAAUUGGGAUUUUACAGGGGUUUCACCUCAAACAUCAUAAAGGUGCUUCCUGCAGUAGGCGUUGGCUGUGUGGCCUAUGAGAAAGUGAAGCCACUUUUUGGAUUAACCUGGAAGUGAUAUAUAAAAUUGUUGUCAUUGUAAUCACUUAAUUGUAAGAUAAUACCUGUGUUAUAAAGAGAUGUUAUCUUUUCCUAAGAGGAAAGAAAUGUCAGAUAAUUGUUAAAAUAUUUUUUCAUUAUUACAAAAUACAUAAAUUAAAUAAUAAUUUUUAUAAAGUUCUUGAAUAAGUUAAAAUAUUUAAUAUCCAAAGAAUACUAUUUACAUUUUCUACUACUCUCCCUUGAAUCCUAAUUUAAAAUUUGUUCUUGAUUUGAUUUGAAUGUAACAUAAAACAUUUGGUCAGUUAUAGGAGUUUAUCUUUGAAAACGUUUUUACAUUUGAAAACUUAUUUUAAAAAAGCUGAGCUUGAAAAUGCUUUAUACACUAACAGAAAAAUCAGUGCAUUUAAAAUUGAUGUUAUAGCAAAUAAUUUGGAGUCUGUUUCUUUUACUUAAGCAAAAUGGAAAAUUGGUUUCUAAUUCCU